Molecule: long non-coding RNA, 2087 nt
Filed under: Marmota monax (woodchuck)
Lineage: Eukaryota; Metazoa; Chordata; Mammalia; Rodentia; Sciuridae
Source: RNAcentral
GAACAGGAACGCAAACACAGCAAAACAAGCCAAAAGACCACAGAUGACUCAAAUUUGUGCAUCUCUGAAGCUCUGCGGGUACAGGGUUGAGGUCUUGGGCUUCAUGGUGGGGUCAGUUUUUGGCUGGAGCUGACAUGGGAGGGACUGAAGUGGGAAAUCCUUGGGAAGUGCUGCCUGAUUUCUAGAGGCUCCAUGGGGUAGGAGAGGAGAGAAGAACAUGAAGGAGGGGGAAAGCAUUUGGGAAAUGCCAGUCCUCUGCCCCUGUCUCCAGGACCCACUUUAACACUGACAAAAUCCUGCUUUCUUUAUUCUUAUUUUCUUCCCCAACUGCAGAUCAACCCUGUUUCUAACACCCACCCACUUCUAGUCUUUGUCAAUCCCAAGAGUGGUGGAAAGCAGGGACUGAGGUGAGGAAAAAGAAAUUAGGGGGGCUGGGGUUAUGGCUCAGUGGUAGAGGGCUCACCUAGCAUGCAUGAGGCACUGGGUUCAAUCCUCAGCCAAAGGUAUUGUGUCCACUUAAAAUUAAAAAAUAAAUAUUAAAAAAAAAAGACAUUGGGUCUUUCUAGAUGGAGAGGGAGGGCCAGAGCUUGGAGGGAGAAAAGGAAUAUGUAUCUAAUUGGAUCACCUUGAGGAAAACAUGAAGCUUUCCUUUUUUUACUCACACAGGGUCCUUUGGAAGUUCCAAUAUAUACUAAACCCUCGGCAGGUGAUCAACCUCCUAAAGGAUGGUCCUGAACAAGGGUGAGUAUAGGCUAGGGGCCAUAUCACAGUGUUUUCUUGUGUCUAUACAUGUUGAGAGUAAACAGUACACAGUGCAUAUUGAGAGAGGAGGCCUAGGGGAACCCAAGACACCAGAAUUUCGAAUGCUUCUUUCCCUAAGGUAUCUCCUCCUCUCAGCUCUCUUUCCAUCUUUGUCCUGUUUUCUUUCUUUCUUUUUUUUUUUUUUGGUGCUGGGGAUUAAACCCAGGGCCUUGUGCAUGCAAGUCAAGCACUCUACCAACUGAGCUAUAUCCCCAGUCCUUUGUCCUGUUUUCAAGGGAUGAAGAUCCAUUUUUUCCCCUAACCACUAAGGAGUAGCUAUAAUUUUCUCCAUUGUCCUUUUCUCUUUCUAGAAAUUCAAGUCUUCUUUAUUUUAAAAAUCAUUGUCAAGAGCUGUAGUGCACACCUGUAAUCUCAGCGACUAGGGAGGCUGAAGCAGGAGAAUCACGAGUUCAAAGCCAACCUCAGCAAAAGCGAGGUGCUAAGCAAUUCAGUGAGACCCUGUCUCUAAACAAAAUACAAAUAUGGCUGGAUAUGUGGCUCAGUGAUCUAGUGCUCCUGAGUUCAAUCCCCGGUACCAGGGGGGAAUAAAAAAAAAAAUAUAUAUAUAUAUAUAUAAAUAUAUAUAAUUGUGUGUGUGUGUGUAUAUAUAUAUAUGUAUAUAUAUGUGUGUGUGUGUGUGUGUGUAUAUAUAUAUAUAUAUAUAUAUAUAUAUAUAUAUAUAUAUAUAUAAAUAUAAAUAAUUUAUGGCCAGGUGUGGUGGCACAUAGCUGUAGUUCCAGCAACCUGGGAGGCUGAGACUGGAGGAUCAUGAGUUCAAAGCCAACCAACCUCAGUAACUUAGCAAGGCCCUAAGCAACACUUAAAGGACACUGUCUCUAAAUAAAACACAAAAAAGGGCUGAGGAUGUGACUCAGUGGUUUAGCAACCCAGGUUCAAUGCCUGGUACCAACAAAAAAAGCAAAUUAAAAAAAAAUUUAAUCAUUUUUUAAGGUGCUUGGGACAAAACCCAGGGCAUGUUAGGGAAAUACUUUACCACUGAGCUACAUCCCCAGCCCAAAACUCAAGUCUUUUGAAAAAGGGGAAAAAGGUAAUAUGAAUGAGACACAAGAAAUAAUCUGCUGGGCCCUGGGUUCGAUCCUCAGCACCACACAAAAAUAAAUAAACUAAAGGUAUUGUGUCCAUCUACAACUAAAAAAAAUAUUUAAAAAAAAAAGAAGUAAUCUGCUGUCCAGGAAUUAGAUAACCUCAGUCCUAUUAUCCUUCAUCUUUUCUCUCUCCCCUUUUGUCUCAGGCUCAGAUUCUUCAAAGAUGUUCCUGACAGCCGU